UUGAUAUUUAGGUACGGUACAGUUGCAAGGCGGCAACACUGUUAAACAUUAAGUCCCUUGUGAGACCAAAGCACGGCCGACCAUUGCAGUCGCUGUCGUAACUUGUUUUAGAUAUCUUUAGUGAAUAAGCUAAAUCUUAUGUUGGAAAAUUGCUUUUAGUUUGUGGUGCCGAGUGCCGGGAUUUGAUAUUAUAUUGAUAUUAUGCCGUAUUAACCCUAUACCAAGAAUUAAGAAACGAGCUUCUACUAGAGGAUAGAAGUUCAGCAACCAGUUCAGUACUUAUAACUUCUUCUCCUUACAAAUUGCCAUUAGAAGAGGCUGCAACAAUUAAAAAGGAGAAAGUAACUAAGGCCAAUAAACAACCCACACGUGGUAAAGGUCGUGGUUCAAAAUGUCUCCUGUUGGAAAGAAAAGAGAAAGCUAACAACAAUUUUAAGUUCAAAGGAAAAUCUAGCUCCAGUGAAACUCGAGCGACACCAUAUCCUCAGGUUCUUUUGAGUUAGAAAUUCCACCAGGUUUGUCUUCCGUCACAGUGAAGACGUCACUUGAUUUGCUGUGUUAAAUUGUUAGAUAACUGCAAAGAAGAGCGUUAAGUUAAAUUCCUUAUGUGUUCCCUCUGGGCUCACGUUGAGUGUGCAGGGGCAGAAGAAAGUACAGGGGCACUACAUAUACGACUAUUGUCGUACUUGAAUGUCAAGUAUUAAAUUUUGAAUGUAAAAUUAUAAUUUUGUUCAUUUUAA
Molecule: long non-coding RNA, 740 nt
Organism: Diabrotica virgifera virgifera (western corn rootworm)
Lineage: Eukaryota; Metazoa; Arthropoda; Insecta; Coleoptera; Chrysomelidae
Exons: 2
Source: RefSeq, a predicted model, not a curated record